This 909-nucleotide ribosomal RNA is filed under the name uncultured bacterium. RNAcentral's name for it is "bacterial SSU rRNA". It matches the Rfam family "Bacterial small subunit ribosomal RNA", at positions 8 to 916 of the family's 1533-position model. The record is from RNAcentral.
AGAGUUUGAUCAUGGCUCAGGACGAACGCUGGCGGCGUGCUUAACACAUGCAAGUCGAACGGGAUCCAUACGUUGGAGUCUUCGGACGAAGAUGUAUGGUGAGAGUGGCGGACGGGCGAGUAACGCGUGAGCAACCUGCCCUAUGCAGGGGGAUAACACCGGGAAACUGGUGCUAAUACCGCAUAAGACCACACUGGCACAUGUCAGAGUGGUAAAAGCUCCGGCGGCAUAGGAUGGGCUCGCGUCCAAUUAGCUUGUUGGUAGGGUAACGGCCUACCAAGGCGACGAUUGGUAGCCGAACUGAGAGGUUGGUCGGCCGCAUUGGGACUGAGACACGGCCCAGACUCCUACGGGAGGCAGCAGUGGGGAAUAUUGCGCAAUGGGGGAAACCCUGACGCAGCGACGCCGCGUGAAGGAAGAAGGCCUUCGGGUUGUAAACUUCUUUGGUCGGGGACGAAGAUGACGGUACCCGAAUAACGAGCCACGGCUAACUACGUGCCAGCAGCCGCGGUAAUACGUAGGUGGCGAGCGUUGUCCGGAAUUACUGGGUGUAAAGGGCGUGUAGGCGGGGUGCCAAGUCAGGUGUGAAAUUCCGAGGCUUAACUUCGGGUGUGCAUCUGAAACUGGUGCUCUUGAGUGUCGGAGAGGAAAGUGGAAUUCCCAGUGUAGCGGUGAAAUGCGUAGAGAUUGGGAGGAACACCAGUGGCGAAGGCGGCUUUCUGGACGACAACUGACGCUGAGGCGCGAAAGCGUGGGGGAGCAAACAGGAUUAGAUACCCUGGUAGUCCACGCCGUAAACGAUGGAUACUAGGUGUAGGAGGUAUCGACCCCUUCUGUGCCGGAGUUAACACAAUAAGUAUCCCACCUGGGGAGUACGGCCGCAAGGCUGAAACUCAAAUGAAUUGACGG